UGUUAACUAUGUAAUACAAGUAAUUAAUUUUUUCCACAUAAUUAAAGAAUUAUACACUCAGUUACAACCAAAAUGACAAUGCUUUAAUAACCCCUAAAGAUUAAACGGUGAAGCUAAAUGAAGAAAGCGACAAAACCUAUAAAAUUAAACCCCUAAUGGAUCGAAAUAAUUUUUUGAAUUUUAUUGAAUUGGUGGAAAAAAAACCCUAAACAUUUCAAUUUGGGAGAAGAGAAAUUAGUUGCAAAAAUAGUGAUUUGGGAGGAAAUUUUGAAGAGGAAAAGGAAAUUUGGUGAAAACGAUUUGAGAGCAUAGUAAACAAAGGUGUGGUGAGGGAUACAACAAAGCAUUAUGGCGAGGAGACAGCUUCGUUUGAAGGGGCAUAGCCAGUGAAAUACGGUAAUGGUGGUCUAUUGCGAUGUUUAUUUAAUUUAUUGAUGAAAAUUUCCUAAAUUUAUUUUGGGUUUUGUUCAAAUGUCGGUUGUAACUAGUCUUGACCCAUGCUUCGUGUAUUUUUUUGUUUAGAUUCUACUAUGUUUGGGGUAACACGUUUUCAGUUUAUGAUUGUAAAAUAUGUUGGAUUGUUGGGUUUGUGUUGUUGAUUUAUUCUAUUCUAUUGAGCCUUCAUAACUGUUUGCAUUGUUUGAUUGAAUUUUUUAGGGCUGAUUGUUGAAAGUAUCUAUGAAAUAAUUGUGGCACUGGUAUUUGAUGCAUUGAAAUUUAAAAUGAUAUCUAUAGAUAGAACAUAAGAGGACCUGAAAGUGUUGACUUUCUUAUUGAUGUCAUUUUAUGGUUAGCAUGUUGGAUUCUUUGUGCUUUUAUGCAUGAUGAAAGAUGGGAAAUGUUAACUUUGUAUAGCAGUAUUGUUGAAUAGAAAAUUGUUAGGAAUGUGGACUAUGUGUUGUCUGCUGGUGAAGCACAAAAAGGGAUAGCUGGAAAAGUUAAUUCCAUGUUUGCUUGUACGUUUGAUGGUCGUUGUGGCUCAUAAGUUGGGAUUCAAACAAUUUUACUGGACCAUAUGUUUGUAAAUAUGCCAAAGGUGUAUCUGAAUAUUGAUGCUUCCUGCAAGUUGAUAAUAAUAAAAUAAGGUGUAAACAUGUGUCUGGUCAGUGAUGCUAUGGUAUGACUAGUGUAUCUAAUUAAUUAGAGUAUGGUUAACAAACGCUAUACUUUUCAUACUGUUUUGGAGUAUAAGGAAAUUUAGAUUUGUUACUGUUUCAUGCAUUUAAAUUAAAAGAAAAUGUUAUUGUUUUGGAGUACAAGAAGCAGUUUUAUGCUUAAUAUUAGGGUUUUUUUAGAAAUAGAUUAGAAGUUAAUGCUUUUUACAGAAUCCAGAUCGGACUAUUUUACAAGUUGUCAUGAAUCAUGAUGGGCUCCUAUUGAACUCGCUAACCAUGAAAUGCAAAGGAAGAUCAGUUGGUUACUUUGACUAUUGCCAUGUAGAGGCUAUUUCCAUGAUUGAAAUGCAUGGCAUGAUGUCUCGAAUAAGUCUGAAGGAGGAUAUGGUUCAUUUGUCUUGGUAAGAAGAAGGAAACGUUAGGCCACUGAAAAUUGAUAGUGAUACAGUUAAUACGGUACCUUGUAUGCCUAGAAAUCAUUAUCUCCAUGUAUAUGUUGAAGAUAAAACAUAUGCUAGUGUUGAAAGUCAAUGAAAGACAGUAGGUGAUGAAGGUAGGGAAGGUAAGGUAGCAAGUGAGGGUAGGGAAACAAGGAGUACAAAAUCUGAUUCAAAAGAUUCCAACUACCAUGCUUAUAAAACUAAAAUAGAUUUUUGUCUCUGACUUUGAAGAUAAUAACAAUAUUAUCGGUGAAGUUAAUGAGAAGGUUUGUGAAGUUCAUGUUGUUCAGGUUGUAGAAAUGAACCUAAUGGAUUUAUGAGGUGAUGAUAGGGGAAAAUCAAGGAUUAAUGGUUGAGAGUGACACUAAAAGCGGGCUGUUAGAGUCAUUACACAAUGUUCACUCUUUUGACUCGGAGGGAAACAAUUCCCCUAAAUCCGACACUAGGAUAGAUAUGGGAAACCCUGACUUGAAGACUGGGAUGGUAUUUGCUAAUAGGGAGGUUCUGAAGGAAGCUAUUAGGCAAUAUGGUAGCUUGAACAGAUACAAAAGUGAGGUUUGACAAGAAUGGCAAGAAGAGGGUAAAGGCAGUGUAUAGGUCAGCCUGUCCAUGGUUUUUAUGGGGUUUAAAGAUGAAUAAAAAAGAUCCCCAAGAUAAUACUUGGCAGAUGAAGACAAUGACAUAGUUGCUUGAAAGAGACCAAGAAUAGGAAUAUUUCUAGCUAAUGGUUGGUACAACAUUACCUGGAAAAGUUUCAGACUGAUCCUACAUAUUCCAUUCGUAACCUACAACAAGAUGUGAAGAAAGACUUCCUAAUUCAUGUGCCCCAUAGAAAAUGUGGUAGGGCCAAGAUUACGACACUAGAGAUGGUUAUAGGAAGCCACAAUAAACAAUAUGGGAUGAUAUGAGUACCUAGGGGAACUUAGAUACACAAACCCUAGGACCACAACCAUAUAUGUAAGCUAGACAAUAGGUUGUUCCAACGAAUGUACAUCUGUUUAGCUGCUUGUAAGGAAUGGUUAAGAGAUGGGUGCAAGCCAAUUACCAGCCUUGAUGGCUGUUUCUUAAAGGAUUACUAUGGAGGCCAUCUAUUGUCUGCAGUUGGGAUUGAUGCAAAUGAUUGUAUUUAUCCCACCCCAUUGCAUAUGCAGCAGUAGAGAGUGAAAACCAGUCAUCAUGGUUCUUGUUCCUUGAACUAUUUGCAAAUAACUUGGACAUUCAGAAAAUCAACCAUUAGACAUUUAUGACUGACAGACAAAAGAUAUUUGUAUUACUUUACUAUUAACUAUUUUUUAUUUGUUUAUUCCUAACUGAUAGUGGAAAUGACAUGUCUAAACACGUCCUUGUGGAAUCCAUUGCUGGGCUAUUCCCUAAUGCAAAUCACAAGACAUGUGUUAGACAUUUAUACACUAACUUCAAGAAUAGCCACAAGGGUAAGGCAUUGAAAGGUACCUUAUAGAAAGCUACCAGAUCAACAUAUGGAAGAGAGCUUGUUGAAGUAAUGGUAGAAAUGAAGAAUUUGUUAAAUGCAACACAUCAAUGGUUGGCUCAGAAACACCCAGCUUAGUCGUCAAAAGCUCAUUUCUCCACCAGAUCCAAAUCUAACAUGUUGUCAAACAAUCUAUCAGAGUAUUUUAAUAAGUUUAUUCUAGGUGCUAAGGAUAAGCUCAUCCUAACUUGCGUGGAUACCAUUAUGACCAAAAUUAUACAAAGGAUUGCUCAAAAGAAAGAAGCUAAGAAAGUCAUUGAACCAUUGUGUCCAAAGAUUCAGAAGAAGUUGGACACCAAAACUGAGCUGUGCAAUAGGUGAAUCGUUCCAACUCAUUUUAAGUUCUUAAAUAUCUACUGUUUGGCUAGUAUUUUAUAAGUGUUGUUUUGGUUAAGUGUUGGUUUGCCAUAUGUUCUUACUUAUAUAAUGAUUUGCUACUUUUUUUCAUAUGUUCUUAAAUAUCUAAUGUUUUACUACUGUUUUUAAGUGUAGUUUUGGUUAUAUGUUGGUUUUCCAUAUGUCCUUACUUAUAUAAUGAUUUGCUACCAUUUUAAAUAUGUUUUAAAGUGUAACAUAUGCCAAAAUUUCACAUGUUCUUAAAUAUCUAAUAUUUUGCUAUUGUUUUUAAGUCUUGUUUUAGUUAAGUGUUAGUUUGUCAUAUGUUCUUAAAUAUCUACUUUUUGGCUACUGUUUGUAAACUGUUGUAACAUAUGUCAAAAUUUUCUUAUGUUCUCAAAUAUCUAAUGUUUUGCUACUGUUUCUAAGUCUUGUUUUAGUUGAGUGUUGGUUUGCCAUAUGUUCUUAAAUAUCUAAGAUUUUGCUACUGUUUUUAAGUGUAACAUACUUUUGUUAAUAGGUGUUGUCCAAUGCAUGUUGGUGGGCUGAUGUGCCAAGUUGCAUGUGGUCCAUCCCACAACAUGUGGUUAACUUGGAUGACCAUACUUGUUCAUAAAUAAAAUAGGAUCUAACCAGUAAUUUAUGAUGUUGAAACACGUGGAUAAACCAUAAUUUCUAACUAAUCUUUUUUUCCUUGAAAGGAAUUCCAUUAAUGUAUUAACUAUCAUGAUGAUGUUGCAAGAGAGGCUAGAAAGUUAUGCGGACCCUUGUUACCCCAAGACCACAUACAUUUCAAUUUACUCACAUUUGAUCAAACCAAUCAGAGGUGCAAAACAGUGGAGUCAAGUUCAAAGUAUAGAGCCAAUACAACCUCUAGUGCCUAGAAGGCCACCAGGCAAACCCCGCAAAGCAAGGAAAAAGGGAGUAGAUGAAGCUCAACUACUGGUGAAAGAUGGUCGAGGAGGGCAUGCAAAUGAACUGCAUGAAAUGUGGUGGUCAAUCGGGCCACAAUGUCAGAACAUGUAAGGGAAGGUUUGAGGUAACAACAAGAAGAAAAAAAACUACGCAUAAAUCUCAGAGAAAGAAAAAAGUCAUUGGAUCUCAAGCUGCAGGUGCUACACCUCAAUCAGCAACUUUAACACCUCCAACUGAUACACUAAAACCUACAACCCAGGGACCUGAAACUGCACGUAAUACUACAAGUUUAAGAGAGCUCCUACAAGAACUCAGCAACACCCUCCAAUCAACCAAACUCCAAUUGUCACCACUGUGAGAAGGGUGCCAAGGAUAACUAAUUCAGGAAUAAUGUUAAUUUAGCUAACUCAAGAAAAUGAAGAAAGCAUUGUGGUCGAUUUUGGUACAAAGGAGAAAGAGCCAACAAAAGAGCGAAGGCUAGAAGCUUUACUACUUUUUUUUUGGGGGGAUAUUGUUUUUUAAUCAAUGUUAGAAUGUUUGGUUAAUUACUUUUUUGACAGAUUACUAGAAGGUUUUAUUUGGAGCCUAUUUGGCUUUGUUAACAUUGUCUAGUCUCACUUAAUUUUGUUUUUCAUUUGGGUACAUAGGUAUGUCACGGCUUGUAUAUCAAAGUCUGUGAUUAAUGCACAAAGAGCAUUUCAUGGAGGUUAAUUGAUUAAAUGAGGUUCAUUUGAUCCA
RNA transcript from Gossypium raimondii (Peruvian cotton), 5033 nucleotides. RefSeq lists it as uncharacterized. The transcript is spliced from 3 exons. The record is from RefSeq and is a predicted model, not a curated record. NCBI's taxonomy places the organism in Eukaryota, Viridiplantae, Streptophyta, Magnoliopsida, Malvales, Malvaceae.